Molecule: long non-coding RNA, 1601 nt
Filed under: Homo sapiens (human)
Lineage: Eukaryota; Metazoa; Chordata; Mammalia; Primates; Hominidae
Description: non-protein coding LINC02564:16
Source: RNAcentral
GAAAGCCGCACCCUGGUGGCCCGGCCCCGCGCCCAGACCUGGCGGCCGCUGGCACCUGACCCGCUGCAUGGGUCUCCAGGGAGCUCGCUGCCCACCCGGCGCUGCAGGCUCGGCUCCCUCGUACACUCUCUGGCAAGCCCAAGAAAGUCAGGGGCCUAUGUGAGCCAAAGAGGAGAGAAGGUGAUGCCUCAGCCCAGUGUUUCUGCCCCACCUCGCUUGUGGCCUUCGGAACUUGAUUUGCACCGCAGGAAAAUGGGCAAUGAAAACCCCUCCCUAACUGGCUUCUCAGUCCACUCUGACCAGCCCACUGCACAGCGCCCACCCUGCAGCUCCAGAUGAGGCCUCACUCUGUCACCCAGGUUGGGGUGGAGUGGCACAGUCACAGCUCACUAUAACCUCAAGCUCCUGGGCUCAAGUGAUCCUGCCACCUCAGCCUCCUAAGUAGCUGGAACUACAGAUGUGCACUGCCAUGCCAGGCUUGUCUAACAUUUUUAUGUGUUGCUUCAUCCAGUUUGCUAGAGUUUUUGGAGAUUUCUGUCUUCAUUCAUGAGGGAUAAUAGUCUGCACUUUUAUUUUCUUGUGAUACUUUUGUCUGAUUUGUUAUCUGGGUAAUACUGGCCUUGAAAAUGAAUUGAUGUUUUCCUGCUUCUCUGCUUUGCAAGUGUUUGUGAAGGAUUGGUUAUUCAUUAAGUGUUUAAUAGAAUUCACUAGUGAAGCUAUGUGAGCCAGGGCUAGACUGAUGAAGAGUUUUCAUUAGUCUAAUCUGUUUACUUGCUGUAUAAGUACGCAUAUAUUCUCUUUCUUCUUGAUUUAAUUUUACACUUUGUGUAUAGCAGGGAAUCUGUGUCUAAUUUGUAGUAUUUCAUGCUUCUAGGUUUUCAUGGCAGUUGAGAUGUAAGAAUAACAAUAAUGUUGGGAGAAGGAAGUUGUGGACAAUCCAUGAAUAUCCCAACAUCUGUUGUAGGAAGGUUAAGAUUACUUUUUUUUUUUUUGCUGUACUGAACUGAAUACUCUUAUUUAUAAUGUCAGACAAAUGUAAUGUUGUAUAUAAAUAGAACUAGGAAAAUGUGCCAUUUGUCUUAGUAUUUAAUCAAGAUGGAAGUCUGGGCCUACCUCCUCUCUUUUAUUAAUAUGUAGACAGGACACCAACACAAAUUAGAAUUAAGACAAACAAAAUGUUAGCAAAUGAAGAAUGGUAUCAAUUGGUUAAAAUGUGAUGAAAUAGAGUGGUGAAUAUUUACAUAGAAUCCAUGAUGUGUUAGGUGCUAUUUCAAGCUAUUUGCACAUAUAGUUUUAAUACCAAUGACGUUAAAAUGUAUAACACAAAGAUUCAUAUAAAUAAAAAUUACAACAUUGUAAAUAAUAUUAGGUGACACUAAAACUGUCAUAGAAAUACACAUUUAUAUAAAACAUAAAGUAACAUGAAGUAUUAAAUUUUAGAAACUUUGAUUACUAAUCAGAUGAACAACUGAUUAGCCUUUUUAUCCAGUAAAAAAGGCAUACAUAUUAUUUUCAAAUUCCAGAGACAAAUAUUUUAAAUAUUGAAGUUGAAGACCUAAAAAUGUGUCACUGACCUCAUGGAAGUAGAUAUUCACUAGGUG